AAACAGUCAUCUCCACAGCAUGUCAUGACAUCAGUCAAGACAUUAGAAUCCAGCUAGUGUUUUACCAUACAAUGCAGCCAAUCAAACAUCUACAUUAUCUUUUAUCUCUUUGCAUAAUAUGUAAUGACUUGCCGAGCAAAAGUGUGUACAAGAUGGUGCACCCAUAAACCGCCAUUCCAGUAUAUUAGGAAUUCGUAAGUAACUCAUGGUUAAAUACAUAAUUUCACUAUGAUUUCCAUUAAUGUAACAUAAAAU
RNAcentral lists this long non-coding RNA (255 nucleotides) under Lathyrus oleraceus (garden pea). RNAcentral describes it as "Pisum sativum (pea) long non-coding RNA (PSAT_LNC003236)". The record is from RNAcentral. Lineage: Eukaryota; Viridiplantae; Streptophyta; Magnoliopsida; Fabales; Fabaceae.